AGCGUACACGGUGGAUGCCCUGGCAGUCAGAGGCGAUGAAGGACGUGCUAAUCUGCGAUAAGCGUCGGUAAGGUGAUAUGAACCGUUAUAACCGGCGAUUUCCGAAUGGGGAAACCCAGUGUGUUUCGACACACUAUCAUUAACUGAAUCCAUAGGUUAAUGAGGCGAACCGGGGGAACUGAAACAUCUAAGUACCCCGAGGAAAAGAAAUCAACCGAGAUUCCCCCAGUAGCGGCGAGCGAACGGGGAGCAGCCCAGAGCCUGAAUCAGUGUGUGUGUUAGUGGAAGCGUCUGGAAAGGCGCGCGAUACAGGGUGACAGCCCCGUACACAAAAAUGCACAUGCUGUGAGCUCGAUGAGUAGGGCGGGACACGUGGUAUCCUGUCUGAAUAUGGGGGGACCAUCCUCCAAGGCUAAAUACUCCUGACUGACCGAUAGUGAACCAGUACCGUGAGGGAAAGGCGAAAAGAACCCCGGCGAGGGGAGUGAAAAAGAACCUGAAACCGUGUACGUACAAGCAGUGGGAGCACGCUUCGGCGUGUGACUGCGUACCUUUUGUAUAAUGGGUCAGCGACUUAUAUUCUGUAGCAAGGUUAACCGAAUAGGGGAGCCGAAGGGAAACCGAGUCUUAACUGGGCGUUAAGUUGCAGGGUAUAGACCCGAAACCCGGUGAUCUAGCCAUGGGCAGGUUGAAGGUUGGGUAACACUAACUGGAGGACCGAACCGACUAAUGUUGAAAAAUUAGCGGAUGACUUGUGGCUGGGGGUGAAAGGCCAAUCAAACCGGGAGAUAGCUGGUUCUCCCCGAAAGCUAUUUAGGUAGCGCCUCGUGAAUUCAUCUCCGGGGGUAGAGCACUGUUUCGGCAAGGGGGUCAUCCCGACUUACCAACCCGAUGCAAACUGCGAAUACCGGAGAAUGUUAUCACGGGAGACACACGGCGGGUGCUAACGUCCGUCGUGAAGAGGGAAACAACCCAGACCGCCAGCUAAGGUCCCAAAGUCAUGGUUAAGUGGGAAACGAUGUGGGAAGGCCCAGACAGCCAGGAUGUUGGCUUAGAAGCAGCCAUCAUUUAAAGAAAGCGUAAUAGCUCACUGGUCGAGUCGGCCUGCGCGGAAGAUGUAACGGGGCUAAACCAUGCACCGAAGCUGCGGCAGCGACACUAUGUGUUGUUGGGUAGGGGAGCGUUCUGUAAGCCUGUGAAGGUGUGCUGUGAGGUAUGCUGGAGGUAUCAGAAGUGCGAAUGCUGACAUAAGUAACGAUAAAGCGGGUGAAAAGCCCGCUCGCCGGAAGACCAAGGGUUCCUGUCCAACGUUAAUCGGGGCAGGGUGAGUCGACCCCUAAGGCGAGGCCGAAAGGCGUAGUCGAUGGGAAACAGGUUAAUAUUCCUGUACUUGGUGUUACUGCGAAGGGGGGACGGAGAAGGCUAUGUUGGCCGGGCGACGGUUGUCCCGGUUUAAGCGUGUAGGCUGGUUUUCCAGGCAAAUCCGGAAAAUCAAGGCUGAGGCGUGAUGACGAGGCACUACGGUGCUGAAGUAACAAAUGCCCUGCUUCCAGGAAAAGCCUCUAAGCAUCAGGUAACAUCAAAUCGUACCCCAAACCGACACAGGUGGUCAGGUAGAGAAUACCAAGGCGCUUGAGAGAACUCGGGUGAAGGAACUAGGCAAAAUGGUGCCGUAACUUCGGGAGAAGGCACGCUGAUAUGUAGGUGAAGCGACUUGCUCGUGGAGCUGAAAUCAGUCGAAGAUACCAGCUGGCUGCAACUGUUUAUUAAAAACACAGCACUGUGCAAACACGAAAGUGGACGUAUACGGUGUGACGCCUGCCCGGUGCCGGAAGGUUAAUUGAUGGGGUCAGCGCAAGCGAAGCUCUUGAUCGAAGCCCCGGUAAACGGCGGCCGUAACUAUAACGGUCCUAAGGUAGCGAAAUUCCUUGUCGGGUAAGUUCCGACCUGCACGAAUGGCGUAAUGAUGGCCAGGCUGUCUCCACCCGAGACUCAGUGAAAUUGAACUCGCUGUGAAGAUGCAGUGUACCCGCGGCAAGACGGAAAGACCCCGUGAACCUUUACUAUAGCUUGACACUGAACAUUGAGCCUUGAUGUGUAGGAUAGGUGGGAGGCUUUGAAGUGUGGACGCCAGUCUGCAUGGAGCCGACCUUGAAAUACCACCCUUUAAUGUUUGAUGUUCUAACGUUGACCCGUGAUCCGGGUUGCGGACAGUGUCUGGUGGGUAGUUUGACUGGGGCGGUCUCCUCCUAAAGAGUAACGGAGGAGCACGAAGGUUGGCUAAUCCUGGUCGGACAUCAGGAGGUUAGUGCAAUGGCAUAAGCCAGCUUGACUGCGAGCGUGACGGCGCGAGCAGGUGCGAAAGCAGGUCAUAGUGAUCCGGUGGUUCUGAAUGGAAGGGCCAUCGCUCAACGGAUAAAAGGUACUCCGGGGAUAACAGGCUGAUACCGCCCAAGAGUUCAUAUCGACGGCGGUGUUUGGCACCUCGAUGUCGGCUCAUCACAUCCUGGGGCUGAAGUAGGUCCCAAGGGUAUGGCUGUUCGCCAUUUAAAGUGGUACGCGAGCUGGGUUUAGAACGUCGUGAGACAGUUCGGUCCCUAUCUGCCGUGGGCGCUGGAGAACUGAGGGGGGCUGCUCCUAGUACGAGAGGACCGGAGUGGACGCAUCACUGGUGUUCGGGUUGUCAUGCCAAUGGCACUGCCCGGUAGCUAAAUGCGGAAGAGAUAAGUGCUGAAAGCAUCUAAGCACGAAACUUGCCCCGAGAUGAGUUCU
Molecule: ribosomal RNA, 2772 nt
Filed under: Escherichia coli
Lineage: Bacteria; Pseudomonadati; Pseudomonadota; Gammaproteobacteria; Enterobacterales; Enterobacteriaceae
Description: bacterial LSU rRNA
Rfam family: Bacterial large subunit ribosomal RNA
Source: RNAcentral